AUGAUUAUUCUAUUUCUGCCGCAGAGGGGGAGAGACAGGAGAGUUAGAAAGGCGGGUUCCAGGCGAGGGCUGUCAUCAAGGCGUUUGGUGUGGAGCGCCUCUUCAGGCACGCUAGCCCCAGUGAGUCCAGUGUCCCUGGGAGUAGAUGACAUCAGCAUCCCGGUUUACAGAGAGAAUCUCAGAGCGGCCUUCAUGCUGGAUCAACAAGCAGACCUGAGAUGUCAUCGACAGAGAGAUGUCCCCCCGCCUCCAGCUGAGCGACAGAGAUGAAGCAGAAGCUGCUUUUGAUUUUUAAAAAUUUUUUUAUUUUUGUAAAUUUAUAUCCAAAGAGUUAGCAUCUGGUGCAAGGACGAUUUCAGGAGUUAGAUGCCUUAGUGCCCCUUACGCAUUUAGCCCAUCCCCCCUCCCACAACCCCUCCAGGAACCCUCUGUUUGUUCUCCAUAUUUAUGAGUCUCUUCUGUUUUGUCCCCCUCCCUGGUUUUAUAUUAUUUUUGCUUCGCUUCCCUCUUGUUCAUCUGUUUUGUCUCUUAAAGUCCUCAAAUGAGGGAAAUCAUCUGAUUGUUGUCUUUCUCUGACUAAUUUCACUUAGCAUAAUACCCUCCAGGUCCAUCCACGUAGUUGCAAAUGGCAAGAUUUCAUUCUUUUUGAUUGCCGAGUGAUACUCCAUUGUAUAUAUAUCCCACAUCUUUAUCCAUUCGUCCUUCGAUGGACAUUUGGCCUCUUUCCAUACUUUGGCUAUUGUUGAUAGUGCUGCUAUAAACAUGGGGGUGCCUGUGUCCCUUCAAAACAGUGCACUUGUAUCCCUUGGAUAAAUGCCUAGUAGUGUAAUUGCUGGGUGGUAGGGUAGUUCUAUUUUUAGUUUUUUGAGGAAACUCCAUCCUGUUUUCCAGAGUGGCUGCACCAGCUUGCAUUCCCAUGCUUUUGAUUUUUAAAGAAAGAGUCUUGAUACCCUUUAUUUCGGGAAUUGUUCUUAAUAGAUCACAAAGAAAGUUCACAUUCGCCGGGAAGAGAAGAAGGGCAGUCGCGAUAACAGCAACAGUAAUAAUAAGCGUGGCCGUUAUGGGGCGCCCGGUGGCUCAGUCGGUUGGAUGUCCGACUGUAGCUCAGGUCAUGAUCUGACAGUUCAUGGGUUCGGCCCCGCAUCAGGCUCUGUGCUGACAGCUUGGAGCCUGGAGCCUGCUUUGGAGUCUGUGCCUCCCCCGGGCCCCCGCUCUCUGCCCCUCCCCUUCUCGCACUCUGUCUCUCAAAAAUGAAUAAAUGUUAAAAAAAAUAUUUUAAAAAAAGGCA
This 1288-nucleotide long non-coding RNA is filed under the name Felis catus (domestic cat). Its description in RNAcentral is "lncRNA (ENSFCAG00000050987.1)". Lineage: Eukaryota; Metazoa; Chordata; Mammalia; Carnivora; Felidae. The record is from RNAcentral.